Molecule: long non-coding RNA, 260 nt
Filed under: Ananas comosus (pineapple)
Lineage: Eukaryota; Viridiplantae; Streptophyta; Magnoliopsida; Poales; Bromeliaceae
Description: long non-coding RNA (ACOM_LNC001377)
Source: RNAcentral
UCCGUACCAACAAAAUCCGAAACCUCUGGCUUAUAUAUAUAGCUUCUUCUGCUCGUGUAUUUAGCUACAGCAGCUCCUGAUAAAGCAAUUCCAACAUACGCUUCUGCUUAGGUGAAAAGUAGAAAUAAAGUUAUUUUAUCAAACAUUACUUACUGUGCCAUACAAUAGGGUCGGUCAAUCAUCAGAUUUAUUGGCGGGUUAUCGAAUUGUUCCGAUAUCUCUCUAUGGGCUUGUUGAACCGAGUCAAAUCGCGAAAUGAU